GAAUAUUGCGCAAUGGCCGAAAGGCUGACGCAGCGACGCCGCGUGUGGGAGGAAGCCCUUCGGGGUGUAAACCACUGUCAGGGGGGCAGAAACUCGUCUGCGGGAAUAUCGCAGGCGAUUGACGGUACCCCCAGAGGAAGCCCCGGCUAACUCCGUGCCAGCAGCCGCGGUAAUACGGAGGGUGCAAGCGUUGUUCGGAAUUACUGGGCGUAAAGCGCGGGCAGGCGGUCUUUUAAGUCCCCUGUGAAACUCCGGAGCUCAACUCCGGACAUGCAGGAGAUACUGGAAGACUGGAGAUCGGUAGAGGCAGGCGGAAUUCCUGGUGUAGCGGUGGAAUGCGUAGAUAUCAGGAAGAACACCUGUGGCGAAGGCGGCCUGCUGGGCCGAUUCUGACGCUGAUCCGCGAAAGCGUGGGGAGCAAACAGG
RNAcentral lists this ribosomal RNA (426 nucleotides) under uncultured bacterium. Its description in RNAcentral is "bacterial SSU rRNA". It matches the Rfam family "Bacterial small subunit ribosomal RNA", at positions 359 to 776 of the family's 1533-position model. The record is from RNAcentral.